This 609-nucleotide long non-coding RNA is filed under the name Gallus gallus (chicken). Its description in RNAcentral is "long non-coding RNA NONGGAT007222". Lineage: Eukaryota; Metazoa; Chordata; Aves; Galliformes; Phasianidae. The record is from RNAcentral.
GGCGGCUCAGUGCGGGGGGCCGGCCGCGGCCGUCAGCAGCACCCCGUGCGCCCGUCCUGCCCCUGUUGGGGUGAAAUAACGCGGGACCCAGAACCGCACGGGGCCCACGGAGGUGCGGGGGGAACUUUAUCGGUUGGAUCAGAGCGGCGUGGAAGUUCUGGGAGCGCUCGUCACGUGCACGAGGAGUCCCGGGCGGCACGGGGACGGCACGGGGCUCCUCACAGCGCUGAGGUGUGAGGAACAGCAGCUUCCAGAAGAAGUGACGUACUGAGCUGCUUCAUAGCCUUCCCACAGCUUCUGCCACUGAACACGGAGCCAACAGAUCCUACAUGCCCUGGCUAUGCAGCAGUGCUGCAUGGAUGCUCCAGGCCCAUCCCAGCCAGAGCGGAGCCGAACGAACAGCACACCCAUCCCCGUGGUGCUGCAGUACCAGUGCCAAUGUCCUGCCAGUGUUUGCUGGCAGCUCAGCAGCCUGCAGUGUGGCUGCAUGCCUGCGAGAGGGCUGCCCUGGGGCUUCCCGCCUGUAUUCCUGCAAACCCCGCCCAGCUACCUUUGAGUCUGAAACCGAAAUGAUGGGGAAAUUACAGAAUUACAGCACCAGUAUGCACA